This 253-nucleotide ribosomal RNA is filed under the name uncultured bacterium. Its description in RNAcentral is "partial 16S ribosomal RNA". It matches the Rfam family "Bacterial small subunit ribosomal RNA", at positions 524 to 776 of the family's 1533-position model. The record is from RNAcentral.
UACGUAGGCAGCGAGCGUUGUUCGGAGUUACUGGGCGUAAAGGGUGUGUAGGCGGUUGUUUAGGUUUGGUGUGAAAUCUCCCGGCUCAACUGGGAGGGUGCGCCGAAUACUGAAUGACUAGAGUGCGGGAGAGGAAAGUGGAAUUCCUGGUGUAGCGGUGAAAUGCGUAGAUAUCAGGAGGAACACCGGUGGUGUAGACGGCUUUCUGGACCGUAACUGACGCUGAGACACGAAAGCGUGGGUAGCAAACAGG